AGCCAGAACACAGGUGCUGCAUGGCUGUCGUCAGCUCGUGUCGUGAGUAUGUUGGGUUAAGUCCCGCAACGAGCGCAACCCUUGUCACUAGUUGCCAUCAUUGGUUGGGCACUCUAGUGAGACUGCCGGUGACAAACCGGAGGAAGGUGGGGAUGACGUCAAGUCCUCAUGGCCCUUAUGGGUAGGGCUUCACACGUCAUACAAUGGUCGGUACAGAGGGUUGCCAAGCCGCGAGGUGGAGCCAAUCCCUUAAAGCCGAUCGUAGUCCGGAUCGUAGUCUGCAACUCGACUACGUGAAGUCGGAAUCGCUAGUAAUCGCAGAUCAGCAUGCUGCGGUGAAUACGUUCCCGGGUCUU
RNAcentral lists this ribosomal RNA (356 nucleotides) under uncultured Thauera sp. RNAcentral's name for it is "bacterial SSU rRNA". It matches the Rfam family "Bacterial small subunit ribosomal RNA", at positions 1025 to 1382 of the family's 1533-position model. Lineage: Bacteria; Pseudomonadati; Pseudomonadota; Betaproteobacteria; Rhodocyclales; Zoogloeaceae. The record is from RNAcentral.